RNAcentral lists this ribosomal RNA (1416 nucleotides) under Limosilactobacillus fermentum. RNAcentral's name for it is "bacterial SSU rRNA". It matches the Rfam family "Bacterial small subunit ribosomal RNA". Lineage: Bacteria; Bacillati; Bacillota; Bacilli; Lactobacillales; Lactobacillaceae. RNAcentral also lists the same sequence under 1 other name. The record is from RNAcentral.
UUGAUUGAUGGUGCUUGCACCUGAUUGAUUUUGGUCGCCAACGAGUGGCGGACGGGUGAGUAACACGUAGGUAACCUGCCCAGAAGCGGGGGACAACAUUUGGAAACAGAUGCUAAUACCGCAUAACAGCGUUGUUCGCAUGAACAACGCUUAAAAGAUGGCUUCUCGCUAUCACUUCUGGAUGGACCUGCGGUGCAUUAGCUUGUUGGUGGGGUAACGGCCUACCAAGGCGAUGAUGCAUAGCCGAGUUGAGAGACUGAUCGGCCACAAUGGGACUGAGACACGGCCCAUACUCCUACGGGAGGCAGCAGUAGGGAAUCUUCCACAAUGGGCGCAAGCCUGAUGGAGCAACACCGCGUGAGUGAAGAAGGGUUUCGGCUCGUAAAGCUCUGUUGUUAAAGAAGAACACGUAUGAGAGUAACUGUUCAUACGUUGACGGUAUUUAACCAGAAAGUCACGGCUAACUACGUGCCAGCAGCCGCGGUAAUACGUAGGUGGCAAGCGUUAUCCGGAUUUAUUGGGCGUAAAGAGAGUGCAGGCGGUUUUCUAAGUCUGAUGUGAAAGCCUUCGGCUUAACCGGAGAAGUGCAUCGGAAACUGGAUAACUUGAGUGCAGAAGAGGGUAGUGGAACUCCAUGUGUAGCGGUGGAAUGCGUAGAUAUAUGGAAGAACACCAGUGGCGAAGGCGGCUACCUGGUCUGCAACUGACGCUGAGACUCGAAAGCAUGGGUAGCGAACAGGAUUAGAUACCCUGGUAGUCCAUGCCGUAAACGAUGAGUGCUAGGUGUUGGAGGGUUUCCGCCCUUCAGUGCCGGAGCUAACGCAUUAAGCACUCCGCCUGGGGAGUACGACCGCAAGGUUGAAACUCAAAGGAAUUGACGGGGGCCCGCACAAGCGGUGGAGCAUGUGGUUUAAUUCGAAGCUACGCGAAGAACCUUACCAGGUCUUGACAUCUUGCGCCAACCCUAGAGAUAGGGCGUUUCCUUCGGGAACGCAAUGACAGGUGGUGCAUGGUCGUCGUCAGCUCGUGUCGUGAGAUGUUGGGUUAAGUCCCGCAACGAGCGCAACCCUUGUUACUAGUUGCCAGCAUUAAGUUGGGCACUCUAGUGAGACUGCCGGUGACAAACCGGAGGAAGGUGGGGACGACGUCAGAUCAUCAUGCCCCUUAUGACCUGGGCUACACACGUGCUACAAUGGACGGUACAACGAGUCGCGAACUCGCGAGGGCAAGCAAAUCUCUUAAAACCGUUCUCAGUUCGGACUGCAGGCUGCAACUCGCCUGCACGAAGUCGGAAUCGCUAGUAAUCGCGGAUCAGCAUGCCGCGGUGAAUACGUUCCCGGGCCUUGUACACACCGCCCGUCACACCAUGAGAGUUUGUAACACCCAAAGUCGGUGGGGUAACCUUUUAGGAGCCAG